GGCUGGACAGAAGGUAGUGAGUUAUCUCACUGGAUUGUUCACAGUCAGUCACAAAUUGAACUCUUUGUUGUACUACUUUCCCUCUUCUCACUACUUCACUGUGACUAGUCAAAA
This 114-nucleotide Y RNA is filed under the name Microcebus murinus (gray mouse lemur). RNAcentral's name for it is "Y RNA (ENSMICG00000027835.2)". It matches the Rfam family "Y RNA". From Rfam's summary of the family: Y RNAs are components of the Ro ribonucleoprotein particle (Ro RNP), in association with Ro60 and La proteins. The Y RNAs and Ro60 and La proteins are well conserved, but the function of the Ro RNP is not known. In humans the RNA component can be one of four small RNAs -- hY1, hY3, hY4 and hY5. The record is from Rfam by way of RNAcentral. Lineage: Eukaryota; Metazoa; Chordata; Mammalia; Primates; Cheirogaleidae.